AUUGAACGCUGGCGGCAGGCUUAACACAUGCAAGUCGAGCGGUAACAGAGAGUAGCUUGCUACUUUGCUGACGAGCGGCGGACGGGUGAGUAACGCGUAGAAAUCUGNCUGAUAGUGGGGGAUAGCCCAGAGAAAUUUGGAUUAAUACCGCAUACGCCCUACGGGGGAAAGAAGGGGACCUUCGGGCCUUUUGCUAUCAGAUGAGUCUGCGUCGGAUUAGCUAGUUGGUGAGGUAAUGGCUCACCAANGCGANGAUCCGUANCUGGUCUGAGAGGAUGAUCAG
Molecule: ribosomal RNA, 283 nt
Filed under: uncultured bacterium
Lineage: Bacteria
Description: partial 16S ribosomal RNA
Rfam family: Bacterial small subunit ribosomal RNA
Source: RNAcentral